GCCAAAUCUGUAAAAUCAAAAUGAGGUUGAAGACAAUUAGUGAAAGUAAUGUCACAGUAUCAUCAUAUUCCCUUUUGCUAUCUGUCCCUUUUCUCUAUGCCAGAUAAACACUUCUCCUUACUCAUCAAUCAAGAAUAAAAUUUUCUAUAUCAAAGACUUGAGAAAAUAAACUUAUAUGUAUAUGUUUAAACUCCAAAGUUUGGAACAUUGAAACAUUAUACAUAAAAUUAUGUGUGUGGUGUGUGAAUACAUAUGUAUGAAUAUAUGGUCUGUGUUUUCUUUUACUACUAUCAAAUAAGAGUUAACUGUACACUUUCAACCUAAGGGGUUGAAAGUAUUUGAAUAUGGCAUCCGUUUAAAUGUACAGAAAUCCUGUAAAUUAUCCAACAGCUCCAUGUAUUCAUGUGUUUUUCUCCUUACUGCCUGUGAUAAAAAGGAGGGGCCAGUCAAAACAAUCUUCCCUAACAAUAAUAAAUUCACGGUAAAUCUAUGACUCACAGUACUCAACUGGGGUAUCCACACAUUAUAGGUAGUUUGAACCUAGACCAUUCUUCUGUGCAUGCUUAUUAAAAUAUGCCAAGGAUGUGAACAUGGUUUUAAAGAGUUGUACAAGAGAAAAUUGAACUUUUGGAAAUUCAAAUUGAAGUUUUCUUAGGCUAUAGCUAAAGUAGUAUGGGUUUUAUUAUUAUCUCUAUAGGAGCAGGGGCAAUGGGGGAAUAAUACUUUGCAUAUAGCUAUUAAGGCCAACAGGUUCAUAAAAUGUAUUCAAUACAACAGUUAAGUAUACUGACAGCCUGAAGAUUUUCAGAGAUCAUUUUGAGAGAAACUUUUUUUCUAGCUCAGAAAAUAAACCUUACAUUUUAAGCAGAAAAUGGUACCUUAAAGAAGAUUCGUCCUCUUAUUAGUCCAUACGGAAUAGGUCCAUAGUACCUGGAGUCUGUAGAAUUCUGUAGAUUAUCACCUUCUAACCAAACAUGACCCAUUGGCACCUAGAAUUAGAGAAGAAAUGCAGCCCUUUAAAAAAAUAAAACCUAAUUUGGGUACUAUAAUUUAAAAGCAUGUAUUCAGAGGUAGGGAGACAUGUCCUAAGGUUCUCUUUUAUAGAAUAGAUACAAAUCCUAAGAUUGCAUGUUUGCUUUUAUUCCUUUCACAAUAAAAUAACUUUUACUAAACAUCAAAGCUUUCAACUUUUUAAAAGACCUAUCUUUUUUUGUCAUAUGGUUCCCAAAUAUUAAUUUGUUAUACAAACCCCAAAGUGAGGUUAUAAGAGAUCAAAACAGUGUGACAGGGUCAUUAAUUUAAUAGACUUCAAAAGAGGUCAUUAGGAUGCUGACUGAAAAUGUGCCCUUAUGUCUCAAUAACAGCAUAAGCAGGGCACCACUCACUCAGCAACAUCCUGGGGCCAAUACCAAGGCCAGACCUAUUAGAAUGCUCAUGAUAAACUAAAUGGCCAUAUCUUCAAUGCAUUAUACUUCAAUAAUGACCAUGAAGAACCAGAAGGACCUAUUAUAAAAUCAUCAGUUGUAAAAUUAAUGAUGGUGACCUUCUCCUAAAUGAAAAGACUAUAUCCUAUAAUGUUCUGUGUAUAAACUGGUAAGUAACAAGAUUUUUACUGAGUGACAAUCAUAAGCAUAUUUAGAACAGAACACACUGCUUCUUUUUUAAAAGCUGCCUGUAAUAUGAGACAUUUGCUUAUUACUAUCUGUUCAAUAUAAACUAAAAUACUUAAUUUUCCAGCAACAAUCUGUAAAAUUGCUUUUUAAAAGUUUUUGUUUUACAGUUUUAUUAUCUAAGACAGUUGAGUUACUGACCAGAUCAAAAUGAUCUCUGUAUGGGGAAGGAAUUUAUUUUCACUAUUCUUUUGAGCAGUUUUAUUUAUAAACCUUAUAUGAAGAAAAAUAUCACUGCUGGGUUUAACAAGAGAUAACACAACUUUUUUUAAUCUCACAAAUUACCUUCUUGACAAAUAAAUGUAUACAAGAAUGUAAAAUCUGCAUUUCACUUACAUAAGCGAUUUUAAGAUUCUGGAAGGUCUUAUGUACAAAUAUUUGCCAAAAACCUUCAAAUUAACUGUAUUUUGAUACAUUUAAAUGUUAAAUUUAUUUGUAGAAAAAGGACAUAAGUUUACUGAAGGAAUAUCAGAAAGUAUAUGAUCAUUCACUUUAUUAGUGGAACUAGUUUGUCCAAGGGCCAAUAGCAAGGCCACUUCCUCGCUAUCUAAUAAAAUAGACAUAUGUGCAGUGACGCAUAAGACUGCUCUAGUAGAAAAAUGUGUAUAUCACAGUCAUCAAAAAAGGAACAAAAUAGUGAAUUUGUAAAAGUGAAAUGUAAUUAACAUUCUUAAGUGUUACUUUGAUAAAGCUACAAGGUGAACAUGUUUCAUGUUUAAAUUUCCACAGUUUCUCUCUGAAAUGUGCUUUUUCCUGAGUUCUAAAAACAGGUAAUGCAUAUGAAUAAAUAAAACCAUGUAGUUAUGGACACCAAUAAAAGAAAAAUAUUCUACAAACUAAUAAGGCAACAUACUAACAAUCUAGGUAUACCUUUGUCUGACCAUCCCAUUGACGGUAAACCAAGACCUGUGAUCAUCUCUUCAUGAAGCUUUCCCAAAACUAGCCUGCCCAUACCAACUUGAUUCUUUCCAGCACUUAACAUAAAGUCAGCCUUGCUUGGGGCCCUACGUUAUAACCUUUAUUAUUAUUAUUUUUAACCUGCUUGGCUUUUCUGUCAGUUUUUACUAUUUUAUACCAGAAUAAACCAACAGACAGUAAUGCUAUGAUUUUAUUUUUUUGAUUGUUAAUGACUUAUUACAUUAUAGUUUGGUGCAAAAGUAACUGCAGUUUUUGCUGAAAAAUACAUUUAAUGGCAAAAACC
Long non-coding RNA from Cebus imitator (Panamanian white-faced capuchin), 2871 nucleotides. RefSeq lists it as uncharacterized. The record is from RefSeq and is a predicted model, not a curated record. The transcript has 2 exons. NCBI's taxonomy places the organism in Eukaryota, Metazoa, Chordata, Mammalia, Primates, Cebidae.